GGGGGGGGGGGGCUAAUACAUGCAGUCGAGCGAAUGGAUUAAGAGCUUGCUCUUAUGAAGUUAGCGGCGGACGGGUGAGUAACACGUGGGUAACCUGCCCAUAAGACUGGGAUAACUCCGGGAAACCGGGGCUAAUACCGGAUAACAUUUUGAACUGCAUGGUUCGAAAUUGAAAGGCGGCUUCGGCUGUCACUUAUGGAUGGACCCGCGUCGCAUUAGCUAGUUGGUGAGGUAACGGCUCACCAAGGCAACGAUGCGUAGCCGACCUGAGAGGGUGAUCGGCCACACUGGGACUGAGACACGGCCCAGACUCCUACGGGAGGCAGCAGUAGGGAAUCUUCCGCAAUGGACGAAAGUCUGACGGAGCAACGCCGCGUGAGUGAUGAAGGCUUUCGGGUCGUAAAACUCUGUUGUUAGGGAAGAACAAGUGCUAGUUGAAUAAGCUGGCACCUUGACGGUACCUAACCAGAAAGCCACGGCUAACUACGUGCCAGCAGCCGCGGUAAUACGUAGGUGGCAAGCGUUAUCCGGAAUUAUUGGGCGUAAAGCGCGCGCAGGUGGUUUCUUAAGUCUGAUGUGAAAGCCCACGGCUCAACCGUGGAGGGUCAUUGGAAACUGGGAGACUUGAGUGCAGAAGAGGAAAGUGGAAUUCCAUGUGUAGCGGUGAAAUGCGUAGAGAUAUGGAGGAACACCAGUGGCGAAGGCGACUUUCUGGUCUGUAACUGACACUGAGGCGCGAAAGCGUGGGGAGCAAACAGGAUUAGAUUUUUUUGU
Molecule: ribosomal RNA, 774 nt
Filed under: Bacillus cereus
Lineage: Bacteria; Bacillati; Bacillota; Bacilli; Caryophanales; Bacillaceae
Description: bacterial SSU rRNA
Rfam family: Bacterial small subunit ribosomal RNA
Source: RNAcentral